Molecule: non-coding RNA, 91 nt
Organism: Podarcis lilfordi (Lilford's wall lizard)
Lineage: Eukaryota; Metazoa; Chordata; Lepidosauria; Squamata; Lacertidae
Source: the annotation of a GenBank genome assembly
AUCUGGAUAGCUCAGUUGGCUAGAGCAUUGUGCUGAUAACGCCAGGUUUGCAGGUUCAAUGGGAUGACUGCAUAUUCCUGCAUUUCAGGGA